Long non-coding RNA from Humulus lupulus (European hop), 1079 nucleotides. RefSeq lists it as uncharacterized. The transcript is spliced from 3 exons. NCBI's taxonomy places the organism in Eukaryota, Viridiplantae, Streptophyta, Magnoliopsida, Rosales, Cannabaceae. The record is from RefSeq and is a predicted model, not a curated record.
UGUACAUGGUCGGAUGAGACGUCACACACACACUCGACCCAAACAGAGAAACUAAGAAAAAGAGUGAUUUUCCAUCAUCAAUGUCAUAUCAUGUGACCUAAUUUUAAUGCCUUCCUUUCAUAUAUACAUAUUCCAUUUCUUCCAUAUAGUUAUUAUUAUUUAUCAUUAUUAUUAUUCACUCUCUCUUAAGGGCUUGAACAUCUCAUUUUUCCCUCCUCUUUUUAUCUCAGCUCCUCCUCCUAACUGUGGAGCUGAGGAUGUAGUGGUAGUAGUUUCUGUUUGGGAUGGAAAUGCAGAAAAUGGGUGCCGUAUUAUCUGAGAGCUUCGAGUACUUACUGAAGAAGUUGAUGAGUGAAUCCGAUGCACCAAGCGGUGAGAUUAGCAAUGCAAAUGGACUAAAGAGUACCACUAAUAAUUGCCAAGUGCUCUCCUGGCCGUACCAUUAUCAGAGGGAAAAGAUCUGGUGUUGGUGGAAACAUACUAAGCCCAAUGAGCUCUGUUAUCAUCAUCGUCACUCCAGCAAUGGAGUUUUAUACCCAAAAGAAGAAAUUGUCACCACAGCUGCCCCAUGUUUGGCUUUGCUCUUUACUCUUAUUUGUCACCAUUCUCUCCAGGCGAUGGUAGGAGUGCAUGAAACAAUAUUAUUGUUGGUCCAAAACCAAAAGCAACUCAUUUCAUCAUCAUGUGGUGGUGCUGGGGUCGAUCAACAUUUUUAAUUAUGGGACAUGCAAAGUUGGAGAGAGAUCAAUUAGCAGGAGCGACGUCGUUUGUUGCGGCGUGAUGUUACAGUUUAAAGACCUUGUACGGAACUAUAGGAUAUCCGUAGUGCUAUAUAUAGCUAGCUAGGGAUAUCCUCAUUGGUUCUGAAACGAGUUCCCCUAUGAGACUUCAAAACUUCAAGUGGCCGUGUUUAUAUAUGACCACAUAGUCCGAUUUCAUUUGUUUGGAUGUUUUAUGUUUUUAUAAACUGAUCGACGAGAACAAGUAUAUGGGAUCUGAGUAUAACCCCAACAAUUGCUGGGAAUACAAAAUGGUUGUAAUAAAAUUUUAUUAUAUGUUUUCACAUGCUCUUUAAUUAA